UUUUGUCUAACACUGACUGCAUGUGGAAACUGACUGGGGAAACUGACGGUGGAAAGUCUAUUAUUUGUUUGAUCAGCAUUAACAAGCACCUUGGGGAAACCUCUUAUUUAUGGUUAUGCAUGUGGCAGUGCAAACACUGCAGUUUGGAACUAGCUAGCAGAUUAAAAGGUGUUCCAUAACGGCAGGUCGGGCGCUUCUGCGCAUCAUCUUUGCCGACCAGUCUGACUAGAAAACUGACCCUGGAUUCGGGAAUCCCAGCAACAGUUGAAGAACUGCACACAUUUGUCAAGACAUCUCUUCAAUUGAAAGAGGACUUCCGUCUGCAAUACAUGGAUGUUGACUUUAACGAGUUCAUGAAUCUUACAUCAGUGUCUGAAAUUCAGGAUAAAAGCACACUGAAAGUAAUUUACUCUCCUAUAUUGUCAAAUAUUGAGCCCUCCAUCACUUAGUACACAGUUGACUCAUUUGAUAAGACCUCAAUUACUGGAAGCUCAGAGUCUCUAAUCCCUGCAUCAUCAAUAGCCUCAUGCUGCAGUGAUGAUAUGGUGUAUACGUCAACCCCGCAUCCAUCCCCUGAAGCUCAGGCCUCACAAUUGUUAUCCUGGCCCACAGUUUUUGUGGUUCCUAAGCUCACCUACGAGGCUGAAUUUGAGCUUCAUCUACAGAAUGCAGAGUUUGAGACAACUGGUACAUACUUCCAGCCUGGCCUAAAGCUGAAAGGAGUCAUUCUUGAUGGCCUAGCCCAAGAAAUGAUCAAAUUCACAAAAUAUCCAAAAGACUAUCAGUGUGAAGAGGUAGCUGCAGCGUUGACGAGGGCCCACCCUUGUU
Gymnodraco acuticeps is the source of this 828-nucleotide long non-coding RNA. RefSeq lists it as uncharacterized. The transcript has 4 exons. NCBI's taxonomy places the organism in Eukaryota, Metazoa, Chordata, Actinopteri, Perciformes, Bathydraconidae. The record is from RefSeq and is a predicted model, not a curated record.